GAUGAACGCUGGCGGCGUGCUUAACACAUGCAAGUCGAACGAUGAUGCCCAGCUUGCUGGGUGGAUUAGUGGCGAACGGGUGAGUAACACGUGAGUAACCUGCCCUUGACUCUGGGAUAAGCCUGGGAAACUUGGUCUAAUACCGGAUACGACCAUCUGGCGCAUGUCAUGGUGGUGGAAUGCUCUUGUGGUUUUGGAUUGACUCGCGGCCUAUCAGCUUGUUGGUUGGGUAAUGGCCUACCAAGGCGACGAGGGGUAGCCGGCCUGGGAGGGUGACCGGCCAAACUGGGACUGAGACAAGGCCCAGACUACUACGGGAGGCAGAGGUGGGGAAAAUUGCACAAUGGGCGGAAGCAUGGUGCAGCGGAGCAGCGUGAGGGAUGACGGCAUUCGGGUUGUGAACCUCUUUCAGUAGGGAAGAAGCGAAAGUGACGGUACCUGAAGAAGAAGCGCCGGCUAACUACGUG
RNAcentral lists this ribosomal RNA (467 nucleotides) under uncultured bacterium. RNAcentral describes it as "partial 16S ribosomal RNA". It matches the Rfam family "Bacterial small subunit ribosomal RNA", at positions 28 to 507 of the family's 1533-position model. The record is from RNAcentral.